RNAcentral lists this ribosomal RNA (641 nucleotides) under Bacillus sp. 14085. Its description in RNAcentral is "bacterial SSU rRNA". It matches the Rfam family "Bacterial small subunit ribosomal RNA", at positions 60 to 681 of the family's 1533-position model. Lineage: Bacteria; Bacillati; Bacillota; Bacilli; Caryophanales; Bacillaceae. The record is from RNAcentral.
AGUCGAGCGAAUGGAUUAAGAGCUUGCUCUUAUGAAGUUAGCGGCGGACGGGUGAGUAACACGUGGGUAACCUGCCCAUAAGACUGGGAUAACUCCGGGAAACCGGGGCUAAUACCGGAUAACAUUUUGCACCGCAUGGUGCGAAAUUCAAAGGCGGCUUCGGCUGUCACUUAUGGAUGGACCCGCGUCGCAUUAGCUAGUUGGUGAGGUAACGGCUCACCAAGGCAACGAUGCGUAGCCGACCUGAGAGGGUGAUCGGCCACACUGGGACUGAGACACGGCCCAGACUCCUACGGGAGGCAGCAGUAGGGAAUCUUCCGCAAUGGACGAAAGUCUGACGGAGCAACGCCGCGUGAGUGAUGAAGGCUUUCGGGUCGUAAAACUCUGUUGUUAGGGAAGAACAAGUGCUAGUUGAAUAAGCUGGCACCUUGACGGUACCUAACCAGAAAGCCACGGCUAACUACGUGCCAGCAGCCGCGGUAAUACGUAGGUGGCAAGCGUUAUCCGGAAUUAUUGGGCGUAAAGCGCGCGCAGGUGGUUUCUUAAGUCUGAUGUGAAAGCCCACGGCUCAACCGUGGAGGGUCAUUGGAAACUGGGAGACUUGAGUGCAGAAGAGGAAAGUGGAAUUCCAUGUGUAGCGG